GACGAACGCUGGCGGCGUGCUUAACACAUGCAAGUCGAACGAUGUGGCGAACGGGUGAGUAAUACGUGGGUAACCUGCCCUCCUUUUUGGGAUACGCCUUGGAAACGGGGUCUAAUACCGCAUAAAGGGGUAUGGGCUCGCGGCCUAUCAGCGUGUUGGUGGGGUGAAGGCCUACCAAGGCGGUGACGGGUAGCGGGCCUGAGAGGGGGGCCGGACAGAUUGGGACUGCGAUACGGCACGGAGUGCAACGGGAGGCAGCAGUGGGGGAUAGAGCACAGUGGGAGAGAGCCUGGUGCAGCGACGGAGCGUGGGGGAUGAAGGCUUGAGGGUUGUAAACCUCUUUCGCUGGCGAACGGGUAGGUGGAGAAGAAGCGACGGCUAACUACGUGCCAGCCGCCGCGGUAAUUC
Molecule: ribosomal RNA, 408 nt
Filed under: uncultured bacterium
Lineage: Bacteria
Description: partial 16S ribosomal RNA
Rfam family: Bacterial small subunit ribosomal RNA
Source: RNAcentral